AGAGUUUGAUCCUGGCUCAGGACGAACGCUGGCGGCGUGCCUAACACAUGCAAGUCGAACGGAGUUACUUAGCGGAAAUUUUCGGAUGGAAGCUGAGUAUACUUAGUGGCGGACGGGUGAGUAACGCGUGGGCAACCUACCCAUAAGCGGGGGACAACAGUUGGAAACGACUGCUAAUACCGCAUAAACUGUUUAAGACACAUGUAUUGAACAGCAAAGAUGGCCUCUUAGUAAUGCUAUCACUUAUGGAUGGGCCCGCGUCUGAUUAGCUAGUUGGUGGGGUAACGGCCUACCAAGGCUGCGAUCAGUAGCCGGCCUGAGAGGGUGAACGGCCACACUGGGACUGAGACACGGCCCAGACUCCUACGGGAGGCAGCAGUGGGGAAUAUUGCGCAAUGGGGGAAACCCUGACGCAGCGACGCCGCGUGAGCGAUGAAGGCCUUAGGGUCGUAAAGCUCUGUUGUAAGGGACGAAUGUUCCGUAUAGUAACUGAUGCGGAAGUGACGGUACCUUACGAGGAAGCCCCGGCUAACCACGUGCCAGCAGCCGCGGUAAGACGUAGGGGGCGAGCGUUGUCCGGAAUUACUGGGCGUAAAGAGCACGUANGUGGGUGCUUAAGUCAGGUGUGAAAGACCGCAGCUUAACUGCGGGGUUGCACUUGAAACUGGGCAUCUUGAGGGCAGGAGAGGACAGUAGAAUUCCUGGUGUAGCGGUGAAAUGCGUAGAAAUCAGGAGGAAUACCAGUGGGCGAA
Molecule: ribosomal RNA, 752 nt
Filed under: uncultured bacterium
Lineage: Bacteria
Description: bacterial SSU rRNA
Rfam family: Bacterial small subunit ribosomal RNA
Source: RNAcentral